UUAAAAGCUAACAUUUAUCACGCCAGCUAAGAUGAGCUGACGGGCACUGGGGGGAAAGUACAAUUGACUGCAAUUACACUUUGAAAAAUGUUAUCUGUGCCACUGACCACUGGGGAUAAAUGAUGAGAUUUCAUUUGUUUCUUCAAGCUUCAGAUUCUUUUUCCCAACUUCUUUUUUGUUGGGUUUUUUUUUUUGUUAGUUUGUUUUUCCUUUUGCCUGUAGGUUGCCUCAACGCUGAGCUGCUCAGGGCAGGACCUGAGGGAAGGGAACUGCAUUGUCCCAAAGUCGUAGGGAUCCUCCGUGCUGUGCCCUGGUGAGUGCAAGUGCCAUCCCUCUGCUCCCGUCCCGUCUGGGUACGUCGCACCUUCCUCAUCCUCACCUGGGGACAUCAUACCUAGGGACAUCGCACCUUCCUCGUCCCCACCUGGGGACAUCGUGCUCAGGAAAAAAGGUUCCCAUCAUGGGCUUUUUCGCACACCUGGAGCACAAGGCAGAUUGUUCAUCAAAGUUUUGUAGGCUCAUCCAUCAGAGAGGAAGCCCAUAAGAAAUAGCAGCUGCUCUCCGGUAAAUCCCGAUGUCGGCGUGUAGGUGGUCGAAAAAUGGCAACUCUCGGGGGGAGGAGAGAAAUUAAAAUAAUGUGCCAACAAAAGAAGUUUGGUCAGACGCAAUCUUCUAACAAGAAUGGACUUUAAAAUUAUGGUUAUUAACAAGGUUUCAUUUCAGCAGCAGUUAAAGAAGCUUUAGAAGGUAUCGCAAUUAAUUUGUAAGUUUAUAUUACACAUUAUAACGUGAGGGGCCAUUAACGAGGCGGUGACAUUAAAUUUAAUGUACUUGGCAAAUGGGACAGUUUGUCUCUCCCUCCUGGGUGCGUUCCCGGGUGGCUGGUUGGGGUUCGGCGCUGCCGUAUUUCUUCCCGGAGGCAGCGGUGCCGGGGACCCCGAUGCUCAAGAGGUCGGGCAGGGCUGCGCAGGCACGGCCGGUACCCGCCGGCGCGGGGGGUUAUCGCGGUGAUGCGCGGCGGUGCCGUGGCCGUCCCGGGUCUGGGGGGCACUGGUGGGAUGAGAAGUUUUGGGCCCAGCUCUGCGGCAUGGCCAACGAGGCUCAGAUGAAUAUAAGGAGAAUAUGAAAUGUCUCAUACCUAUAACUUUAAAUUAAAAAAGCAAUGUACUGUUUAUUGGUUCUUCCGAGUGUCUCCGGAGCGGCAGGCUCAUAAAGAUCAUAUUACAGUACAAGCCAUUAUGCAAAGAGUUUACUAUAUAUACAUUUCUAAAUGCUUCAGCAAACAGCAGCCUACUUACGAGCAGAGAAGGAUAACUGGUUCGUUUGGGGUAACAAAUGAUCCUUGAUUUGAUUUUAAAUGCAAUGACAGCAAAAUUUAUUUCUUAUUUAAUCACUUGCCAGAGCUGUUGAGGACGGGAUGGUAUUAAACUGCACAAUGCAGCAUAUGACUACUGAAUCAGUUGAAAUAGGCAUAAGAAUAUAUUAUGUUUAUAGGAUAGAAAAAGAUUGUACAGCAAUGCAUAUAACUAGAAUGGGUAUUUUUGUCAUUUAUACAGUAGCUUAUAUCAUUAUUUCUUCCCGCUUCCAAUUUUUCAGUAAUAAAAAUACAGGGGAUGUGA
This is a long non-coding RNA of Harpia harpyja (harpy eagle), 1619 nucleotides long. RefSeq lists it as uncharacterized. Lineage: Eukaryota; Metazoa; Chordata; Aves; Accipitriformes; Accipitridae. The transcript is spliced from 2 exons. The record is from RefSeq and is a predicted model, not a curated record.